AUGAGGAGAAGCCAAAUGACUUUACUUAAGGUCAGAGAGCAAAUCAGUAGCAAAACCCAGACUAGAAUGGUCCCAGGUCUCAGUUCUCUGCUCAGAUCACACCAUGCUGCCUGGACCACACUGGACAAAAGAGAUAAUUUGAUCUUUCUCAGAAAGAUUUCUGGCGUCACUGGAGGAAAAUUCUCUUUUAAGGACACAUCUUCUUUAAAAGGAACGGAACUGGCCCCUCAAGCUAAGAAGGAUUACUCCUCCAGAGCUCAUUCCUGGAUAAUAAACUCCAUCACCUACCAGGACGUAUCAGACUGUGUUUAGGAGCAUCCUACAAGAAUUGCUAGAACGAGAAUUACAAGAAGCUGAUAUUGACGUGGCGCCCUCUGCUCGGCUAAAACAAGAUACCCGAAUGAGACUUGCCCACAUGUAAGUGGAUGGGUAUAUUUUGCAUUAUAAUUAAGGGGUCAGGCCAGAACAUAAGCCAAAGUGAAACACGAAUGGCCAGGGAAGGUUUAAAUGAAGUCUAGAGGGCCAGACACGCAGAUAUGCCGAGUCAAGCCCUAGAAGGUCAGUUGGUCUCUGCUCACCUGUAUGUAGUGAGGCCAGAAAAAGGUAGAUUGGAAAGGCACAGAAACACAUAUUACCCAGGACCAAAGAGAGAGCAGGAUCCAGAAAUCAGUCAGAAAAUGAGGUUUUGGAAGGGACAGACGAAAAAUUAGUAGGGAGGCAGCCUCAAAAGUAGGAAUCAAGUCCCUGCCAAAGAACAGGGCUAAAUCACAAGGUAAGGGUCCACGCAAGGACUCUAGGGUCAGAAAUCUAGGCAAAGAGUGACCUGCAAGGGAUCACAGCACAGGAAAGUGAUUGGCAAUGGCAAAGGCCAAAAAGGAGCUGGGGGAAAUGGGAAGGUGACAGGGAUCCAACCACCCACAGGUCAACCUGCUUUCAUAUAAACUUUAAAAAAUUUUUUCUGCGUUUUAAUUAAUUUAUUUAUUUUGAACAUUGUUUCUAAAUUUUUAGGAUCAAAUUCUCUCCUUCUACCAUGCCUACUGAGAAAGUAAGCAAAAUGAUAUAAAUUAUACAUAUGAAAUCAGGCAAAAAAGAUUUUUAUAUUGGCUAUAUUUCCCCAAAAAAGCAAGAAAAUAUAAAUGAGAAAAUUAUACUUCAAUUUUCACUCAGAGUUCAUCAGUUUUCUCUUUGGAAGUGGAUUGCAUUUUUUUCAUCAUGAAUCUUUUGGAAUUGUCUU
This 1234-nucleotide long non-coding RNA is filed under the name Monodelphis domestica (gray short-tailed opossum). RNAcentral describes it as "lncRNA (ENSMODG00000044139.1)". Lineage: Eukaryota; Metazoa; Chordata; Mammalia; Didelphimorphia; Didelphidae. The record is from RNAcentral.